GGCUGGGUAGCUCAGUCGGUAGAGCGUGGGACUCAUAAGCCCGAGGUCGUGGGUUCAAUCCCCACCCCAGCCACCA
RNAcentral lists this transfer RNA (76 nucleotides) under Candidatus Doudnabacteria bacterium RIFCSPHIGHO2_01_FULL_46_14. RNAcentral's name for it is "tRNA-Met". It matches the Rfam family "tRNA". Rfam says of the family: Transfer RNA (tRNA) molecules are approximately 80 nucleotides in length. Their secondary structure includes four short double-helical elements and three loops (D, anti-codon, and T loops). Further hydrogen bonds mediate the characteristic L-shaped molecular structure. tRNAs have two regions of fundamental functional importance: the anti-codon, which is responsible for specific mRNA codon recognition, and the 3' end, to which the tRNAs corresponding amino acid is attached (by aminoacyl-tRNA synthetases). tRNAs cope with the degeneracy of the genetic code in two manners: having more than one tRNA (with a specific anti-codon) for a particular amino acid; and 'wobble' base-pairing, i.e. permitting non-standard base-pairing at the 3rd anti-codon position. Lineage: Bacteria; Candidatus Doudnaibacteriota. The record is from RNAcentral.